AUAAUCUUGUGCUUGAAUAAAAAUUCUCAUUCUAGUCUUCCAAUAGGAAUAAUUUGUCCCAUUGAAGAGUGGAGGUCUAUUGGUUGCCUGCCCCUCAGCAGGAACAUUGUUGAAGGGUGUUGCCAUCUUGAUCUUUGGCAAAGACGGUUAAGUCUUCAAGAAUACAAAGAGCACCUGCUCUGAUACCACUUGUUGCCCAGAGAUGGUCACCCAAGAGGGGGGUGAAUUGGGUGUUUUAAAACUUUUUGUCUAAUUAAAACAAGACACACAAGUGUAUGUGCUAAAGUAAAGAUAGAGUUAUCAGCACAGUCAAUCGCAAACACAAAGAUUUAUAGUGGUUCGGAGCUUCCACUGCUCCUACAUCCACUCCCCAA
This 374-nucleotide long non-coding RNA is filed under the name Phoenix dactylifera (date palm). RNAcentral describes it as "long non-coding RNA (PDAC_LNC014176)". The record is from RNAcentral. Lineage: Eukaryota; Viridiplantae; Streptophyta; Magnoliopsida; Arecales; Arecaceae.